CAACUUACCGUGAUUUACCGGCCUCUCAAGGGCUACCUUUCUACCUUUUCUUUUUUCAACUGCGGUGAGGCACGCUACGUUGGGCAGCCUCACCAUGCAUCACCAUAUUAUUGCUGUCCUAUUUCUUCUCGCAUCUGCUUGCGCUUGUGCAGAUGCAUUGUCUGUAGAGCUGGCUCAAAGCACACUUCUGGGAGCAGAGGCAGAGCUAUCACAACAUGCUGUUCAGUUCUCUAACAGCUCGCUCUGCUUCCACACUGUUGCUGCAGAUGAUCAGAAUGCAAACACGAUUGCGUCCACGCACUGCACCUUUGACAGUGGUUCGACAUUUGAAGUAAUAAAGAACGUUGAUGACAUGUGCUUGAGGGGAAUAGUGGUCGAUCAUCAGCUCUUCUGUCCCCAUGAACAGGUGCAGCAGCCGGAGGAUGGAGACGCGGAAUAUGCUGCUUUCUCGUUCAAGGUUCAAAAUGCUACCAUUUACAAAGAAAACAGCGAAAGACGCUUUGUUUUCAAAGGCGACAAGCUUACUGGAGUGUUGAAUCAGGUUUAUUUUAACGGAAAUGCGAUUUACAUGGAGGAAGACGAUGCGUACAUCUUUCUGUCGACGACUAUUAAUGAGGCGGAAGACAAGAAAGUUGUUGUGUUCCGCUCUGAGGAUGGCUUUGUCUACAAUGCGAUUUCAGUCAUCCCUAACCUGCAAGAGGCUCAGCAGCAUUACAUGAUUUAUGAAGGUGGCCGCGUGCUCUCUGUAGUGUCGUCCUUCAAUGGAUCGUACUACACCAGUGUGUCAUCUGGCUAUGCAGGCAGGCACUGGUCAGCCAUGAGGAUGCUCAACGUAUCUACACCACCAGCAUCUGUCAUGUUUUCGGGAGUAAAGCUCCAGUACGCGUGCUCGAACGAAACAUCUGAGAGAGCCAAGUGGUACGUCGUCGACGACAAUGGACGACACGCUAUCAAAAAAGAGGCACCCGAGUUACCCGCUGUCAGUAAAGCCACAUCCCGCUCUCCCUUUCUUGCAUUUUCCUUGAAAGCGUCUGACAGCGACAAAAAGAGAUUACUCGUUCUGCAGACCGAGCUAAUAGACGACAGACAGACCAACAUUCGCGCUUCCCUAUUCUCUGUCGACGACUCCGCCGAGGAGAAAGAGAAGGCGGAGAGGAUCGAAAAGUGGAAAAAAGAGCAGCAGAAGAGAGAAGCAGCCCGCUUCAAGGCAAAGCUGGAGAGACUGGAGCGGGAGAAAGCGCUGCGGCGCGAGCGGAGGCGCAGGGAGGCGGAGCGUAAGGCACAAUUUAUUACCCUUGACGAACCAAAUGUGCGGGCUGCCAAGGAGUUUUUCGAGAAAGAUGGGGAGAUGAUACUUGUGCGCCGUGUGAACAAAGAUUCUGUUGCCUUUGAGAAGGAGGUUUUCUUUUCGGACCUCUAGUGCAAUCAUUCUUGUUUGGUUUUCUUUGUUUUCGUGGUACAUCCUUGCCAUGGUCUGUGCGUCAUGUGCUUCUUUUUCAUGUCUAUGUAGCUCUUCUCUCGCCUUUUUGGUUCUGCCUGCAAUGCAGCCAUGCUGAGCUGGUGCCACCCCAGGCAAUGUCGGCAUAGAGGUAGUCAGGACAAUCCUUUUCAUUCUGGACUUCUUCUUGAGGUAGCCUUAGCGGCUCAGCAAAAGCAAAAAUUACAGCUUUGCUCCUCUCCGCAACGCAUUGGCUGCAGAUGCCGUUGGAAAAGAGAGCAAAUCGUCCUCGUCGUGCUCACUCCUCUCGCACUGUUUGUCAUCUUGCCUUUCUC
This 1773-nucleotide unclassified non-coding RNA is filed under the name Leishmania donovani. RNAcentral describes it as "gene:LdHU3.18.0690(CDS-product:hypothetical_prote in_conserved)". Lineage: Eukaryota; Euglenozoa; Kinetoplastea; Trypanosomatida; Trypanosomatidae. The record is from RNAcentral.